Danio rerio (zebrafish) is the source of this 642-nucleotide non-coding RNA. Lineage: Eukaryota; Metazoa; Chordata; Actinopteri; Cypriniformes; Danionidae. The record is from Ensembl.
UGUGCCUUAUUCGAGAAGAAUUUUGGAGCCUUGGAUUGUUGAGGGACAUGGACUUCCAUGGCAAGGACAUAUACAUUGAGGACUUUUAUGUUUUCCCUGUGUGGAAAGAAACUCCUAACAACAUUGUUACUGGAUUACCGGAAAAUUGCUUACCAAGUGGAUCAUGGGACAUGGUCUGAAAAGACUGGAUAUGAUUUUCCAGCUUUGCCACGUCAGACAAGAGGGAAUGAUUGUGGUGUUUUUGUACUCAUGUACACCCUCUCAAUGGUGUGUGGCAUUGGGUUUCAAUUCCAGGAGAUGGAUAUACCUAUCAUCCGUCAGUGGUGGUGCCUUCUACUCAUGGAACAAUUUCAAACUGAUGGUAUGUCACCGACUCGGUCCCAGUAACUCCCCUCGCUGGCCAGCAGAGGCCACCAUCUCCGGACUUUUAGCAUUACGUCAUCCAUCUACACUGAUUGCGCAUACACCUGAUUGGAAUCUGGCUAAUGACCCACGUACCUCUUAUAAGCCGCACUCAAACACUCGUUCAGGGCGAAGUCUUGUUUAGCCCCGGCCAGCAUUUCUGAGCAUUAUCUCCAGCCUGAUCUCCUGUGCACGACACCAGCCUGUCUCUUACUUUGCUUCGCAUUCUGCCUGCCCACG